AUGAACGCUAGCGACAGGCUUAACACAUGCAAGUCGAGGGGCAGCACGGGAGUAGCAAUACUUGGUGGCGACCGGCGCACGGGUGAGUAACGCGUAUGCAACCUACCUAUCAGAGGGGAAUAACCCGGCGAAAGUCGGACUAAUACCGCAUAAAACAGGGGCACCGCAUGGUGAUAUUUGUUAAAGAAAUUCGCUGAUAGAUGGGCAUGCGUUCCAUUAGGUAGUUGGUGAGGUAACGGCUCACCAAGCCGACGAUGGAUAGGGGAACUGAGAGGUUGGUCCCCCACACUGGUACUGAGACACGGACCAGACUCCUACGGGAGGCAGCAGUGAGGAAUAUUGGUCAAUGGGCGGGAGCCUGAACCAGCCAAGUCGCGUGAAGGAAGAAGGAUCUAUGGUUCGUAAACUUCUUUUGCAGGGGAAUAAAGUGCAGGACGUGUCCUGUUUUGUAUGUACCCUGAGAAUAAGGAUCGGCUAACUCCGUGCCAGCCGCCGC
This 496-nucleotide ribosomal RNA is filed under the name uncultured bacterium. Its description in RNAcentral is "bacterial SSU rRNA". It matches the Rfam family "Bacterial small subunit ribosomal RNA", at positions 29 to 518 of the family's 1533-position model. The record is from RNAcentral.